Molecule: ribosomal RNA, 215 nt
Filed under: uncultured fungus
Lineage: Eukaryota; Fungi
Description: partial small subunit ribosomal RNA
Rfam family: Eukaryotic small subunit ribosomal RNA (bases 38-215)
Source: RNAcentral
AAAUCAGUACGCUGGUCGUGCCUCUGGUAUGCACUGGUGUUACUGAUUUCUCCCUUCUGAAGAACUAUCAUGCCAUUAAUUUGGUGUGGUAGGGAAUCAGGACUGUUACUUUGAAAAAAUUAGAGUGUUUAAAGCAGGCGCUUGCUUGAAUACAUUAGCAUGGAAUAAUGGAAUAGGACCUCGGUUCUAUUUUGUUGGUUUCUAGGGCCGAAGUA